Heterocephalus glaber (naked mole-rat) is the source of this 101-nucleotide small nuclear RNA. NCBI's taxonomy places the organism in Eukaryota, Metazoa, Chordata, Mammalia, Rodentia, Bathyergidae. The record is from Ensembl.
GCUUGCUUCAGCAGCGCAUAACUAAAAUUGGAACGAUGCAGAGAUUAGUGUGGCCCCUGCACAAGGAUGUCACGCAGACUCGUGAGGCGUUCUGUAUUUUC